CACAAUCUCUCCUACCUAACCCCUCUCACACUCUUCUACUCCUGAAUCCCUCUCACGCAUACGUACUCGUCUCCUCAUCUCAUACCCUCUCCGUUCAACCCCUCUCCGAUGAACCCCUCUUCGUGAAUCUUUCCUCCGAACUCCUCUCUGUCUAACGAUCCUUUGCCGAAUCCCUCUCCCACUCAAUCUAAAAUUUCCUCACCCUCGACUAUUUUUUAAGUCAAGACUGCGGGCCCAGGUGGUUUCGGACGACGAGAAGGAGUACACCCACUGCGCCUACGACUCCGGCAUCAUGACUGGACUUAGCGUCGAUGCCUUCCUUUUGCUGUUGGCGAGUUAGGUAUUCAUCAUGUCCGUCACCAGGUGCUACUUAUGCAUCCCCUCGAUCAAACGCGAAAAAUCCUGCUCUUGCACCGUCUCCCUCUUUUGGUCUUUUUGGUAGUUCGAAUAUACCAUAACCCCCACCCCCUUCCCUUUUGUUUCGAUUUUGCAAUGCGACGUCCCAUUUUUCUACAACACUUGCGACCGUCGAUUUUUCCCCGAUGCAUUUCACUGCCUCUUUUUCCCUGAUCCACAGUACCAUCAAGGAAUCUGUCGCAUUGCCUCCUUCGUUAUUCUCUCAUGAUCUAGGGAGGGAUUCGCCGAUGGUUCUUCUCUUCUGCAAGACCUAUAUUCUUUCAAGGGUGAUAAGUAUUAAGGUGAAUAAUAAUCAAGCUCACAUUAGAUGGUAUCAACCAAGCUGGCUACUUCCAAACAUGGGUUUUUACUAUGCUGGCAAUUUCCUGCAUUGUAGUUCAAUGAAUUAGGUGGGUUGCUUUUAGUUGUACACUGUUUUAACCAGUCAUGCUUAUAUUCCAAAUCAAACUGAAUUUCUGCUUGUUUUCUAGUUAUUUGCUCUUAGACUACCCUUAUAUAUAUGUUUAUAGGAUAAUACUCAACUAAUUACGUGGUUUUCUUUGAUGCUUUCCAAGCUAUACUGAUUUAACCAGUAAUGUGUAUAUUUUAGAUCUGAAGAAUAUACUGCUACUUGAACUCACUUGAUUUUUUCUUUUAAUAUGCAUGUUGCACGUACUUGAACAUGUAUGACAUCUGUCAAGAAGUAAAUAUGAUCAUAUAUAACCAAGAAUGGAUUUGUAUUGUUGCUAGAGUUAAUUUUGGGUGACAGAACUUUGAUUGACUCUGAAUCUCAACAUUAUGAAUUUAUAAACACCUACAUAGAGAAGAUACUAGUUAUCCCAGUUAGACCUUGCCAUGUGGGCUUCAGAAACAAUCUUACAUGUCAUCGGCAAGAUGUUGUACCUUUUCAGAUAUUUUGAAGGUGAAUGGAGGUAUUCAGAAACUCCAACUAAACAGCUCAGGUAUGGAUGAUUACAGGAGCAACAACUACAUGCUAUGUGACACUGCAUCCAAACCUAGGGGUGUGACUGGGAAGUACUUCGAUGAAGAACUAUCAAGAAGCUUUGGGAUUUAAGCGAGAAGAUGGUUAAAGCCAAUGAGUAAAGAACAUUCAAGUCAAGAGAAUAAGUAGCAUCUAUCAAGAUUCUUUAAGUUCAUGCACUAAGAUGUAGUCGGUAGGAGUAAUUUUGAAUGUCUCCUAAUUAAAAUUUCUUUGUAUGCGAGUAGUUAUGUUUGUUAUAGAGUUGUAAGGAUGAUAAUUUGUAUAUUUAUCUUGAUUGUUUAUUUAAUAAUAUGUUGUUGAUUGAAGUA
Molecule: long non-coding RNA, 1707 nt
Organism: Zingiber officinale
Lineage: Eukaryota; Viridiplantae; Streptophyta; Magnoliopsida; Zingiberales; Zingiberaceae
Exons: 5
Source: RefSeq, a predicted model, not a curated record